This 484-nucleotide ribosomal RNA is filed under the name uncultured bacterium. Its description in RNAcentral is "partial 16S ribosomal RNA". It matches the Rfam family "Bacterial small subunit ribosomal RNA", at positions 30 to 507 of the family's 1533-position model. The record is from RNAcentral.
AUUGAACGCUGGCGGCAGGCCUAACACAUGCAAGUCGAGCGGAUGAAGGGAGCUUGCUCCUGGAUUCAGCGGCGGACGGGCGGGUAAUGCAUAGGAAUAUGCCUGGUAGUGGGGGAUAACGUCCGGAAACGGGCGCUAAUACCGCAUACGUCCUUAGGGAGAAAGUGUGGGAUCUUCGGACCUUACGCUAUCAGCUGAUCCUAGGUCGGAUUAGCUAGUUGGUGGGGUAAAGGCCUACCAAGGCGACGAUCCGUAACUGGUCUGAGAGGAUGAUCAGUCACACUGGAACUGAGACACGGUCCAGACUCCUACGGGAGGCAGCAGUGGGGAAUAUUGGACAAUGGGCGAAAGCCUGAUCCAGCCAUGCCGCGUGUGUGAAGAAGGUCUUCGGAUUGUAAAGCACUUUAAGUUGGGAAGAAGGGCAGUAAGUUAAUACCUUGCUGUUUUGACGUUACCAACAGAAAAAGCACCGGCUAACUUCGUG